Non-coding RNA from Vigna umbellata (rice bean), 702 nucleotides. The record is from RefSeq and is a predicted model, not a curated record. Lineage: Eukaryota; Viridiplantae; Streptophyta; Magnoliopsida; Fabales; Fabaceae.
AAAUAUCAAAGUGGGUUCCAUUUGCUUGUCUUGUAUAUUGUAAUAAAAAUUGUUGGUUUAGAUAUAGUUGUUUUGGAUAAGUAACUUGAUUUUUAUUUUUCUUAUGUGCGUUUCAGGAAUCCCAACAUUCAAAGCUGUAUUGUGUUUAAUGAUAGCUUUUGGUAUUACCCCGACAGUUACAUGCAAUGUUACUAAUGUCUAUAAGGUUUUGAAGGCAAGGAAUGGAAGCAUGCCACUUGUACUGGUAAUGGUAAUAUAUUUUUUCCAUAUGAUGAUGUUCUUCUAAGAUCUGGAUGCUUUAUUAAUGUGUUUGUUCUUGGGCAGCUUUACCCGUUUGUUGUACUUGUGGGAGGAGUUCUUAUUUGGGAUUAUUUGUCACCAUCAGACAUCAUGGGGAGAUAUCCACAUUUAGUUGUUAUUGGGACAGGACUUACUUUUGGAUACCUUAUGGUAUGGCAGUUGUAUUUAAAUUUGAAAAAUGGUUUGCUUUUCUUCUUGUUAUUUUCAAUUUUUAUAGCAGCAUUCAGACUUUUUUAUGCCCUUUUUGAAAGAUUAUUAUAAUAUAUUCUUCCAAAUAGACUGAAUCCACUGCAAAUAAAUUUGCAUCGAACCGGUAGGGACCUAUCACAUUUGGAAGAUCAUUAUAAUAUAUUCCAGUAUAUAUUAUAAUAGAGAGAACUCGGUCUAUUAUCUUUCAUUGUC